GACGAAACGACAGUGAUGCGCCCGAAGUUAAAGCCUAGAAAGUAUUCGGUAAACGCGAAACUUACAGUCUAGCCGGAGAUCGAAGCGAUGCGGCCCAAUUAGCUUGGAAGAACUCGUGGAGAAAAGAAAACAAUGGCGAAGUUGCCGACUUGAAAGUAAAUUGCGAAAAUAGUAGAUUUGUAUUGAUUAUGAUGUGUAUCCUUUUUACAGACAUCACAGGGCCCUUAUUUAUACCCUAUACAUCAAGACUUCUAGUCCUAGUUGAUUACGACAAAUCAUAAGAUAUAUCUUUAAAGAAACAAACUCUCUAAACAAAAUAAAAUAAAAAUGACUCGUACAGGAGUCGGAAACGAACUCGGCCUCUAUCAGCCAAAACCUUCUCUUCAUCGGCCAAACCUCCGACAUUUCCAAUCGGUUGGAAUCCUUCUGCUCGCAUCGGCUGACUCCAUCUGCUAUGCCUCUAUCGGCUGCAUCCUUGCGAUUCUAUCAGCUAGACUUUUGUCUUCCUCUAUCGGCAGAGCUUUUCGCCAUCAUCGGCCGAUCUCUUAUAACUUCGCCGGCUGAGCCCUUUGCAACCCAUCGGUCGAUUCCACUAGCCGUUGUCUCUCCACUAUGCAUCAGCAUCUCUGCUUCCUUUUGACGCCAUCUUUGACGUAUGUCAAAAAAUGGUGUCAACACAUGCCCCCAGUUUCGGAGUGAAACUUAUCUUUUGCUCCGACAUUAUCUCAGCCAUGAUUACCUUCCCUGGGAAAACGCUGAUAUUUACCCAUCACCGAGUAACAAAAUAUUUUCUGUUCCAAAAUCUCUUCAGUCAUGAUUACCUAAAAAAGUGUUUGGGGGUAACAGCUCUUCGAGUUUCGCACAGGCAGUGGAUGAGAUACCGCAUUUACCCUCUCGGGUGAGUUUAUAUAUUUAUAGCCAUCAUCUUCUUCUUCCCCACCAGUUCAUCUUCUCACACCAUCACACCUUGCUUCCUCUUUCUUUCAAGCGAAAGGCGACCCUCGACAAUUCCUGACGACCAUCAAAGAUCUCCAGCGACCAUUGGUGAUUCACUUACUAAUCACUUCAGAUUCCAAACCAAUUCCAUGGCCACUCAUACCAUCAUCCCCAAGGUACACCUCUUUGCCUUCAUCGUUUUCCCCGUGCCUCUAUUUUCCUUUCCUUACUUAGCC
RNAcentral lists this long non-coding RNA (1172 nucleotides) under Setaria viridis. Its description in RNAcentral is "long non-coding RNA (SVIR_LNC011152)". Lineage: Eukaryota; Viridiplantae; Streptophyta; Magnoliopsida; Poales; Poaceae. The record is from RNAcentral.